Molecule: ribosomal RNA, 303 nt
Filed under: uncultured bacterium
Lineage: Bacteria
Description: partial 16S ribosomal RNA
Rfam family: Bacterial small subunit ribosomal RNA
Source: RNAcentral
AGCAGCCGCCGCGGUAAUACAGAGGGUGCGAGCGUUAAUCGGAUUUACUGGGCGUAAAGCGUGCGUAGGCGGCUUCUUAAGUCGGAUGUGAAAUCCCUGAGCUUAACUUAGGAAUUGCAUUCGAUACUGGGAAGCUAGAGUAUGGGAGAGGAUGGUAGAAUUCCAGGUGUAGCGGUGAAAUGCGUAGAGAUCUGGAGGAAUACCGAUGGCGAAGGCAGCCAUCUGGCCUAAUACUGACGCUCAUGCACGAAAGCGUGGGGAGCAAACAGGAUUAGAUACCCCCGUAGUCCCUGUCUCUUAUAC